This 253-nucleotide ribosomal RNA is filed under the name uncultured bacterium. Its description in RNAcentral is "partial 16S ribosomal RNA". It matches the Rfam family "Bacterial small subunit ribosomal RNA", at positions 524 to 776 of the family's 1533-position model. The record is from RNAcentral.
GACGAACCGUCCAAACGUUAUUCGGAAUCACUGGGCUUACAGAGUUCGUAGGCGGUCUGGAAAGUUGGGUGUGAAAUCCCUCGGCUCAACCGAGGAACUGCGCUCAAAACUACCAGACUCGAGGGAGAUAGAGGAAAGCGGAACUGAUGGUGGAGCGGUGAAAUGCGUUGAUAUCAUCAGGAACACCGGUGGCGAAGGCGGCUUUCUGGGUCUUACCUGACGCUGAGGAACGAAAGCCAGGGGAGCGAACGGG